Molecule: ribosomal RNA, 202 nt
Filed under: uncultured Actinomycetales bacterium
Lineage: Bacteria; Bacillati; Actinomycetota; Actinomycetes; Actinomycetales
Description: partial 16S ribosomal RNA
Rfam family: Bacterial small subunit ribosomal RNA
Source: RNAcentral
CGACUUUGGGUAGUAACUUCAGGAAACUGGGGCUAAUACCGGAUAGGAGCUCCUGCUGCAUGGUGGGGGUUGGAAAGUUUCGGCGGUUGGGGAUGGACUCGCGGCUUAUCAGCUUGUUGGUGGGGUAGUGGCUUACCAAGGCUUUGACGGGUAGCCGGCCUGAGAGGGUGACCGGCCACAUUGGGACUGAGAUACGGCCCAG